UAUGACGUGAAUGCUUUAAGGCCUGUAGCAUCACGUGAAGAUUGAACUUAGGUGAGAUCAACUGAAUAAUGCUUAUUGAACAUUGAAUUAAAACAACAAAAUGCACAUUACCAUAGCCCAAAAAAAUAAAAUUGUUGGUUCAAAAAUUAACUAUUUAUCAACGCCAGAUACGAUGACUAGAAGUGCAAUCAACUAGCAGAACAUUUCAUCCACAGUUCAAACCAACAGUGACCUACAAACAGCAUCUACCAAGAAAGGGUCGAUCAUAUCAUUCAAAGUUUAUAGCAACAGGUAACAAACGCGCAGAAAUUACUAUAAUACAUCCACGAAAACACUAAAGUUAUAUGUGUCUCAGUCACAAUGGCAAAAAACAGCAUACAGAACCACAUAAUGCCAACAUUAAAUAGAUGCGGGGGCAUUCCACAAACGUGGUGCGGGCAACAACAAAUUAAAGCGGGUGGACAACCAAUUGCAUCACCAAGACUAACAGACCCAAAAAAAGUUUGCCCAGAACUUGAUGACCAUCAUUCACAUGUCAUCAAAUGGAGCAAGCAAUGGCAGCCAACCGAAACAACAACCAGCACAAAUUUAUGCACAACAACCAAGUAGGAUGAGAGAUAUAGAAGCAAUAAAUUAAUCCAAACUCUUUAUAUGAAGAACCAGAGAACUAGUCUUAGCAUUUAACGAAAUAAGCCUCCGGAGAAAUCCUAAAUAGCAACCUUUUAAGCUUAAUGGUUUAGGAUUUCCCAUGAAUUUAGCAUGUCAGAGAUCAUUUCACAAGCCAGAACAUUAACAAUUGAAAAGAGGUAGAGAGAGCACAUCGAAACAAUAUAGAACAUAACCACCAGAACCAAAUUAAACGGAGUCCCACAAACAGCCAAGAAUGCCAAAUCCAAGAUUGCCUCGUCGUCAAGAAAAUAGCCGCUUUCCUUUCAUAGCAAAACCCGGGUCCAAGAAUCAUCACAACCUUCUGGAGAAAAUGGCCUUAACAUAUAAAUUCAAAA
Phoenix dactylifera (date palm) is the source of this 1004-nucleotide non-coding RNA. The record is from RefSeq and is a predicted model, not a curated record. Lineage: Eukaryota; Viridiplantae; Streptophyta; Magnoliopsida; Arecales; Arecaceae.